CAACAACACCACACAGAAAAAAACCCCAAAACCAAAACCCAAAAGCCUGCAGGUGCCAGGAACAUACUGGGGCUCUAGGAGAGAAGGCUUUCAUAACUCAGAAAAGGUGGCAAUUUUGCUGAGUACAACUGAGGACAUCUCAGCUGGAGACCUAGGGCUGGGUGCACAUCCCAAGCUGUUGUGCAGCCAACAAAGGUGAACGUUGUGCAUGCUUAUUUCCUGUCUUUCCCCCUCCUCUGUCUGCAGAAGAGAAUUCUGGCCUGACCCCUGCAGUUUCUUCCCACCCUCAAAGGAGAGUCCUUGAUCAGCCAUAACAUUCUUGGGCUUUUGUGAAUGUGAAUCGGGGAGAAACUGGAAGUGAGGUGAAGAAAGAGGAUUGAAAGUGCUACAGGUUGUACCCACCGGGCCUUCUAUUCUCAAAUCAGAGAUAAGACCUGCUUCCUAUCUGUUGCAGCAAGGCUGCUCUUCAGUUGUUACAUGGAGUCGAACCAGAGGCUACAGGAGCCAUCACAAGUGGGUAACAGAAGUUAUUUGACCAUUGAUGAAGAGAACUCUGCACUGAAUGCCUGUACACCCCAGUAACAGAUCAAUCCAGAGAGGGCUGAGCCUCCUCUUUGCCACUCACUGCUUCGAACAUUCAGAGAGAGCCUAGGAGAUAACAAAUGCUGCUAGGGCUCUCUCAGAAACACCAUCACUCCUGGGCGAACUGAAUCUCCCACAGAGAAAUCCUCACAUCUGUCCAUUCAUUCAUCUGUUCAUCCACUGCCAUCUACCAUCCACCCACCCACUCAUCCAUCCAUCCAUCCUCUGAUCCAACUAAUACAUAAAUAUGUAUUAGGUGACCUGUAACUUUGCCGUUAGAAAUGUUGAGACCAACUAAUUCCCCCUCAUCCUUGGUGAGUAAAAUCCAAGUGCCUCUGGAAUCCUGUUAUUUCUCUGUCUCAUCUCUAUAUUGCUUUGAGCUUCUUCUUUCCUUAAUCAGUCCUCUUCCCACUUCCACACACACAUCUGGAACAUCUGUUCUCUGGCUCCAUUGGUGAGAUAAGUCCCCAUCUAGCCUUUGCCUAAGCUAAGGAUCCCUUUACCGCUUGGUCUUCACUGACUUCCAGGUGGUCUUUUCCAAUGCCCUUUGUUCUUUUCACCUGCUCCCACCUCUGCCACCUAAAUUGGGGUUGGAAGGGAAAAUGAGCAUCUUUCUUGCUUUUUGAUGCCCUUCACGACAUUCCUCCUUUCUCUCAUGUAAAAAUUCCUGAUUAUUUUGGCUUGUAUAUUCCACUAGAGUCCUCUCUACUACUCCAAGCAAUUUUAAAACAAAAAGAGUAAGAUACUUUGAAUUUGAAGGACUUUGGGGUAGAAGACAGGGAACUG
Molecule: long non-coding RNA, 1368 nt
Filed under: Homo sapiens (human)
Lineage: Eukaryota; Metazoa; Chordata; Mammalia; Primates; Hominidae
Description: HSALNT0212947
Source: RNAcentral